This 405-nucleotide ribosomal RNA is filed under the name uncultured bacterium. RNAcentral's name for it is "partial 16S ribosomal RNA". It matches the Rfam family "Bacterial small subunit ribosomal RNA", at positions 30 to 525 of the family's 1533-position model. The record is from RNAcentral.
AUCGAACGCUGGCGGCAGGCCUAACACAUGCAAGUCGAACGAGUGGCGGACGGGUGAGUAAUGUCCGUGAAACUGCCCGACGGAGGGGGAUAACUACUGGAAACAGUAGCUAAUACCGCAUACCAUCGGAUGUGCCCAGAUGGGAUUAGCCAGUAGGUGUGGUAACGGCUCACCUAGGCGACGGUCCCUAGCUGGUCUGAGAGGAGGACCAGCGACACAGGAGCUGAGAAACGGUCCAGACUCCGAGGUGAGGCAGCAGUGGGGACUAUUGGACAAUGGGCGCAAGCCUGAUGCAGCCAUGCCACGUGUAUGAAGAAGGCCUUCGGGUUGUAAAGUACUUUCAGCGAGGAGGCGUUGCUCGCAGAAGAAGCACCGGCUAACUCCGUGCCAGCAGCCGGGGUAUUC